CCUACGGGGGGCAGCAGUGAGGAAUAUUGGUCAAUGGGCGUAAGCCUGAACCAGCCAAGUCGCGUGAGGGAUGAAGGUUCUAUGGAUCGUAAACCUCUUUUAUCAGGGAAUAAAGUGCGGGACGUGUCCCGUUUUGUAUGUCCCUUAUGAAUAAGGAUCGGCUAACUCCGUGCCAACAGCCGCGGUAAUACGGAGGAUGCGAGCGUUAUCCGGAUUUAUUGGGUUUAAAGGGUGCGAAGGCGGAAUGUUAAGUCAGCGGUAAAAUUUCGGGGCUCAACCCCGUCGUGCCGUUGAAACUGGCGGUCUUGAGUGGGCGAGAAGUAUGCGGAAUGCGUGGUGUAGCGGUGAAAUGCAUAGAUAUCACGCAGAACCCCGAUUGCGAAGGCAGCAUACCGGCGCUAAACUGACGCUGAGGCACGAAAGCGUGGGUAUCGAACAGGAUUAGAUACCCCUGUAGUC
This 459-nucleotide ribosomal RNA is filed under the name uncultured bacterium. RNAcentral's name for it is "partial 16S ribosomal RNA". It matches the Rfam family "Bacterial small subunit ribosomal RNA", at positions 338 to 795 of the family's 1533-position model. The record is from RNAcentral.